UCACCGUCUCUCAAAGCGCCUGCGCAUCCACACCCGAACUCCUCCCACCGGUCCCUUGGCGCUUGCGUGAGCCCGCCCCCACGGCUCCGCGAUCGACACCAUGGAAACGCAGCCAAGUUUAGGGUCGCUGGUUCUCAACGCUGCCCAGAGAGGUCUUUAAUCCAUGACUCCAAAGCAAGUCCCUGAGCAGGGGCGCAAGUAUGGCAAACUGCAGGCCUGGGUCCAGCCCGCAGACCAGUGGAGAAGCAUCUAGCACUUCACAGAGGGCUGGGAAGAUCCCUGGAGGGCGGGAAGUGCUGGUCCGGCAAAACCACUUCUUGCAGGCUAACACGGUAGGGCAAAGCAUGGCUCACCACUAAAGGACAAAGGUAGAUCUGAGCAGCAGGGGGAACAGUCAACAUUUCAUUCCCACUCCUGACCAGAGCAUCCCCUAUUUCCGACUCUUUCCCAACCCAACCCGGCGUAGCUGUUCAUGUGCCUCAGGUUUCAGCCCACUUGCCCUCUGUUAACAGCUCCCAAUGAGAACCACAGGCUACCAGAGGAAGCAGCUUUUAUUGAUGGGUUAUCUCCAGAAACCAGAAAGACUAUAUGUACUCACUUUCAGUUACCCCCGUGCCUCCAGAAUCGCAUGUUGCUCCACCUGGGGGCGGAUAUAAAUUACCUCUAGAUUGUCCAA
Molecule: long non-coding RNA, 676 nt
Filed under: Homo sapiens (human)
Lineage: Eukaryota; Metazoa; Chordata; Mammalia; Primates; Hominidae
Description: HSALNT0016433
Source: RNAcentral